UACAGAGGGGGCAAGCGUUGUUCGGAAUUACUGGGCGUAAAGGGCGCGUAGGCGGCCUCCGCAAGUCAGUUGUGAAAUCUCCGAGCUUAACUCGGAAAGGUCAACUGAUACUGCGGGGCUAGAGUGCGGAAGGGGCAACUGGAAUUCUUGGUGUAGCGGUGAAAUGCGUAGAUAUCAAGAGGAACACCUGCGGCGAAGGCGGGUUGCUGGGCCGACACUGACGCUGAGGCGCGAAAGCGUGGGGAGCGAACAGG
RNAcentral lists this ribosomal RNA (254 nucleotides) under uncultured bacterium. RNAcentral describes it as "partial 16S ribosomal RNA". It matches the Rfam family "Bacterial small subunit ribosomal RNA", at positions 524 to 776 of the family's 1533-position model. The record is from RNAcentral.